RNAcentral lists this ribosomal RNA (599 nucleotides) under Carassius auratus (goldfish). RNAcentral's name for it is "partial 16S large subunit ribosomal RNA". It matches the Rfam family "Bacterial large subunit ribosomal RNA", at positions 1809 to 2609 of the family's 2925-position model. Lineage: Eukaryota; Metazoa; Chordata; Actinopteri; Cypriniformes; Cyprinidae. The record is from RNAcentral.
AAAAACAUCGCCUCCUGCAACACAACCAAGUAUAGGAGGUCCAGCCUGCCCAGUGACUACAAGUUCAACGGCCGCGGUAUUUUGACCGUGCAAAGGUAGCGCAAUCACUUGUCUUUUAAAUAGAGACCUGUAUGAAUGGCUAAACGAGGGCUUAACUGUCUCCCCUUUCCAGUCAGUGAAAUUGAUCUACCCGUGCAGAAGCGGGUAUAAUAAUACAAGACGAGAAGACCCUUUGGAGCUUAAGGUACAAAACUCAACCACGUUAAGCAACUCAAUAAAAAGUGAAAACUUUGUGGAACAUGAGAUUUUACCUUCGGUUGGGGCGACCACGGAGGAAAAAAAAGCCUCCAGGUGGAACGGGAAAAUUUCCUAAAACUAAGAGAGACAUCUCUAAGCCACAGAACAUCUGACCAAAUAUGAUCCGGCUAAUACAAGCCGAUCAACGAACCAAGUUACCCUAGGGAUAACAGCGCAAUCCUCUCCCAGAGUCCAUAUCGACGAGGGGGUUUACGACCUCGAUGUUGGAUCAGGACAUCCUAAUGGUGCAGCCGCUAUUAAGGGUUCGUUUGUUCAACGAUUAAAGUCCUACGUGAUCUGAG